GACGAACGCUGGCGGCGUGCUUAACACAUGCAAGUCGAACGGAAAGGCCCUGCUUGCAGGGUACUCGAGUGGCGAACGGGUGAGUAACACGUGGGUGAUCUGCCCUGCACUUCGGGAUAAGCCUGGGAAACUGGGUCUAAUACCGGAUAGGAGCCAUUUUUAGUGUGAUGGUUGGAAAGUUUUUUCGGUGUAGGAUGAGCUCGCGGCCUAUCAGCUUGUUGGUGGGGUAAUGGCCUACCAAGGCGGCGACGGGUAGCCGGCCUGAGAGGGUGGACGGCCAACGUGGGACUGGGAUACGGCCCAGACUCCUACGGGAGGCAGCAGGGGGGAAUAUUGCACAAUGGGCGCAAGCCUGAUGCAGCGACGCCGCGUGGGGGAUGACGGCCUUCGGGUUGUAAACUCCUUUCGCUAGGGACGAAGCUUUUUGUGACGGUACCUAGAUAAGAAGCACCGGCUAACUACGUG
Molecule: ribosomal RNA, 465 nt
Filed under: uncultured bacterium
Lineage: Bacteria
Description: partial 16S ribosomal RNA
Rfam family: Bacterial small subunit ribosomal RNA
Source: RNAcentral